Molecule: microRNA precursor, 131 nt
Organism: Vulpes vulpes (red fox)
Lineage: Eukaryota; Metazoa; Chordata; Mammalia; Carnivora; Canidae
Source: Ensembl
GACUCUGAUAGGGAAGGAAUAGAGCCCUUUGAUCUGGGCUUAGUACAUCUAAAUGGCUAGAAGUUAAGUCCCUUAGCUUCUCCUUAUGUUUUGGGCCAGAAUAAGUUGCUCUCUUUCCCUUGUUAGAGAAG